Molecule: ribosomal RNA, 782 nt
Filed under: Pseudomonas monteilii
Lineage: Bacteria; Pseudomonadati; Pseudomonadota; Gammaproteobacteria; Pseudomonadales; Pseudomonadaceae
Description: bacterial SSU rRNA
Rfam family: Bacterial small subunit ribosomal RNA
Source: RNAcentral
UGCAAGUCGAGCGGAUGACGGGAGCUUGCUCCUUGAUUCAGCGGCGGACGGGUGAGUAAUGCCUAGGAAUCUGCCUGGUAGUGGGGGACAACGUUUCGAAAGGAACGCUAAUACCGCAUACGUCCUACGGGAGAAAGCAGGGGACCUUCGGGCCUUGCGCUAUCAGAUGAGCCUAGGUCGGAUUAGCUAGUUGGUGGGGUAAUGGCUCACCAAGGCGACGAUCCGUAACUGGUCUGAGAGGAUGAUCAGUCACACUGGAACUGAGACACGGUCCAGACUCCUACGGGAGGCAGCAGUGGGGAAUAUUGGACAAUGGGCGAAAGCCUGAUCCAGCCAUGCCGCGUGUGUGAAGAAGGUCUUCGGAUUGUAAAGCACUUUAAGUUGGGAGGAAGGGCAGUAAGUUAAUACCUUGCUGUUUUGACGUUACCGACAGAAUAAGCACCGGCUAACUCUGUGCCAGCAGCCGCGGUAAUACAGAGGGUGCAAGCGUUAAUCGGAAUUACUGGGCGUAAAGCGCGCGUAGGUGGUUCGUUAAGUUGGAUGUGAAAGCCCCGGGCUCAACCUGGGAACUGCAUCCAAAACUGGCGAGCUAGAGUACGGUAGAGGGUGGUGGAAUUUCCUGUGUAGCGGUGAAAUGCGUAGAUAUAGGAAGGAACACCAGUGGCGAAGGCGACCACCUGGACUGAUACUGACACUGAGGUGCGAAAGCGUGGGGGAGCAAACAGGAUUAGAUACCCUGGUAGUCCACGCCGUAAACGAUGUCAACUAGCCGUUGGAAUCCU